RNAcentral lists this ribosomal RNA (471 nucleotides) under uncultured bacterium. Its description in RNAcentral is "partial 16S ribosomal RNA". It matches the Rfam family "Bacterial small subunit ribosomal RNA", at positions 330 to 792 of the family's 1533-position model. The record is from RNAcentral.
GCCAGACUCCUACGGGAGGCAGCAGUGGGGAAUCUUCCGCAAUGGGCGCAAGCCUGACGGAGCAACGCCGCGUGAAUGAAGAAGGUCUUCGGAUCGUAAAGUUCUGUUCUUAGGGAGGAAGUCUUUUCUUGUGAAUAAUGGGAGAAGGUGACGGUACCUAUGGAGAAAGCUCCGGCUAACUACGUGCCAGCAGCCGCGGUAAUACGCAGGGGGCAAGCGUUAUCCGGAUUUACUGGGUGUAAAGGGGGCGCAGACGGCGAUGCAAGCCAGGAGUGAAAGCCCGGGGCCCAACCCCGGGACUGCUCUUGGAACUGCGUGGCUGGAGUGCAGGAGGGGCAGGCGGAAUUCCUGGUGUAGCGGUGAAAUGCGUAGAUAUCAGGAGGAACACCGGUGGCGAAGGCGGCCUGCUGGACUGCAACUGACGUUGAGGCCCGAAAGCGUGGGGAGCAAACAGGAUUAGAUACCCUAGUA